AAUAGAUACCCCGGGUAGUCCACGCCGUAAACGUUGGAUACUAGGUGUGGCGGUCUUACCAACGACUGCCGUGCCGAAGCUAACGCAUUAAGUAUCCCGCCUGGGGAGUACGGCCGCAAGGCUAAAACUCAAAGGAAUUGACGGGUCCCGCACAAGCGGCGGAGCAUGCGGCUUAAUUCGAUGCAACCCGAAGAACCUUACCUGGGUUUGACAUCACGGGAAAAGCUGUAGAAAUACAGUGUCCAUUAGGGCCCGUGACAGGUGGUGCAUGGCUGUCGUCAGCUCGUGUCGUGAGAUGUUGGGUUAAGUCCCGCAACGAGCGCAACCCUUGUCCUAUGUUGCCAGCGGUUCGGCCGGGGACUCAUAGGAGACUGCCGGGGAUAACUCGGAGGAAGGUGAGGACGACGUCAAGUCAUCAUGCCCCUUAUAUCCAGGGCUGCACGCAUGCUACAAUGGCCGGUACAACGGGCAGCGAUCCCGCGAGGGUGAGCGAAUCCUAAAAAGCCGGUCUAGUUCGGAUUGAAGUCUGCAACUCGA
Molecule: ribosomal RNA, 537 nt
Filed under: uncultured bacterium
Lineage: Bacteria
Description: bacterial SSU rRNA
Rfam family: Bacterial small subunit ribosomal RNA
Source: RNAcentral